GGGGAUCGAGGUUCGAUGCGACAUUACAGCACGACUGCAGUCGCGUGGAGGCAUACCGACGAUUCUGCGGUGCGCGAAGCAUGACCAUACAGUCGCUCAUCAAACGCGUGUGCGAUUUGGAUCGUCGAGUGGAUGAUGAGGAUGGGAGCCUGUACCUUCGUGCUGUCCUCGUCUGCGCGAUCUAUUCGAGGGACAGGUAAUCAGUUAUUUAAGAUUAUCCUCCACACCGUUACUGGUUUUACUUAUGUUCUAAUAUAUUAUCUUUGUCGCUUUCUAGGGUGGGUGUCAUGCCCCUGGACCCGAUGUGACGAUCUGUCGAGUCACUACUUCAUAUCAGCGCUGACACCGGGCGAACUCUCGGUGAGCUUCAGGCCCCCCGACAACCCAUUAGCUCGGGGUGUCCAAUUUCCACAGGGCACCGGAGCCCGUGUUGUGGAGGAGCGCGGGGACGAGGAGGAUGUACCUAGAUAGCCUCGUACGACUCGCAGUCACAGUGUCCGGGGCCCUGUGAGGGAUGCUCGACAGCACGAGCCGGCUCGUCAUUCAGUAGAUCCGGGCUCGCGCCCUGUGAGGGAUGCUCGACCCCACGAGCCGGCUCGUCAUUCAGUAGAUCCGGGCAAGCGCCCAGCGCCGCAUACUUCUUCAUCGUCGAGCGGAUCUCGGACUGUAUCCAGUCCCAGCGAGGGUGAGGUGGAUCGUAAGUGGGUGAAGAAGACGAUCCGUCAGGAGAUUAAGAAGGCCUUCGGCAAAUUCGUGGAGAAACUGAAGAGCAAGGGUAAAAAGGAUAGGUGCAAGAAGAGCAAACAUUUCCGAGUGCCCGACUCCCCUGAUGAUGAUGACCAGCGACGGUCCCCUGAUCCUCCACAGCCACGGUCUCCUCCACAGCGACGGUCUCCUCCACCCAGUGCUUCAGGGCCCGACGCUUCAGGGCCAAGCGUUUCACGUUCCUGCGACGACGACCCCCGCGGUGAGGAACCACGCCAUCCAGAGACCCAGGCCUACCCAUCACGCCCUUCAGAUUAUGCCCAUUCCCGCCCAGCAGAGACCCAGGAUUACAACGAGCAGUGGCGGGCCAUGAAUCAGUCUGUUCAGGGCGACUACACACCGGCAGAGCAGACUUUUGACUGGUCGACCCAGGUCUACCCUCAUUGGUCUUCCCCAUUCCUGAAGCCGCAGUAUAGAACAGAGACCCCGAUAUUCUUUGCUGAACCGCUCACUUCUAUUGCACCACAUGAGUGGGGACAGUCCAGUUCGGCAGGACAGGCUCAGACGGAGGAGCCUGAGCCACAGGCAGAGCAGCCACAGGUACUGCUGCUGCAGCACCUAGAGCAGCCGCCGGCAGAGCAGCCGCCAGCAGAGCAGCCGCCAGCAGAGCCCCCGCGUCGCAGUCAGAGGGUGAGGCGUCCGUCUAACUAUCAGCGAUCGCCUUGGGUUAAUAGCCAAAUGCCACGUCCAGUGACACAAGUCUGCAGUGACCAUUAUGAGAAGUGGAUGGCUAGGUGUCGAGAGGGUAGGGGUCGUGAGAUUUGUUGCGCCGGUGAAUCUCCGGCUGAUAGGUCUAAAUAAGCAUAUCUUUGGAUUGCUUCCAAUCCGUCCCCACCUUCGAAUGUUGCACUGGAUUCACCUCCAUACCCGGAAGAUUGAGGGAGAUCGAACGAAGGAACAUACACUCCUCCACUGUAAUCGUCUUCAACAACAUAAAUCUCAAGAAAAUGUGGCUGCGACGCCAGCAACUGAAGCAAAUCAUUGUCAUCGGCAAGAAUAUUUUUACUGUAUACCCUGCCAUUUAAUCUCUUCGUCAAAUAAUACAAGCUGUAAUUAGUGCUCAAUGAAUUCUCCAUCAUCAGGUAAUUUAUCAUGUACACCGUACUGGCCAUUGUGUCUCCGAAAAUAUGCAAAUUCUUAGAAGAGUCGCCGAUGUACUCAUAACCAUUGAAGGCACCUCCAUAAUUAACCACAAAGUAUCUCCCAUAUUCAUUCAUCUACAGAAAAAAUAAUAAAUAAAUAAAUAUAUGAUGUAAAUGUAAUACAAUGUUAAAAUACAACAUAUAACAUGUUAAUACACUCGAAAAACAUCUAUCCGCCCGGGGAAGUAUCCGAAGAAAUGUGUCCGGCCGUGUAUUACAUGAUAUAUAAUUACACACGGCCGGACACAUUUUCGAGGACACUUGUCCGGGCGGAUACAUAAUUUUCGAGCAUAAUAACAUGAGUUAUGUAGCAAUAUAUAUGUAUAGAACUAAAAUGCAACUAAUAAAUUUACUAAUUUAAUACUUUAAAACAUGAUAGAAUUUGCUCUAAUUCACAUGUAUUUCCUUCAAACGUGGCUUUAAAUCAUAGUAUGCUAUAAUAUGCUAAUAAUUCACAUAAGCAUAUAGGAUCAAACAAAACAUUGAAAAUAAACAAUAACCAACUUAAAUUACAUUUCAACGUAAAAUGACAUACCUUUAAACGUUCGGAUGAGAGAAUUCACAAAUAAUAGCUUCACCACUUGGAAAAUAUUAGAAUUUCUAAUGAGUUUGAGUGUUUUUUCACUUUGAGUGUUCGGAUGAGAGGAUGAGAGAAUGAGAGAAUUCACUCAUAUAUAAACAAAGAUUCCUUCAUUUCACGUGAAUUUCAAUGAAAUUAGAGUGUUUGACAUGAAUACUUUACUGACAAAGCUAUUUCACAUCAUAUUUGUCGUUUAUCAUCAAUUUAAAAAAAAAUUAUGUCCCUUAAUUGAAGGCUAAUUAAUCGAUGGAAUAUAAAUACAAAAAAUUAACACAAUCCAUAUUAGCACUCAAAACACACAUAGGAACCAAAAAAACAUCUAUCCGACCGGAACAUAUAUGUGUCCGCCCGGUGAAACCUUGUGUCCGGUCGGACACUUGUUUUUCCCGGUCGGACGCGUUUUUGUUUUUUUUCCAAUGUGUGUUUUGAGUGCUAAUAUCGAUUGUGUUAAUUUUUAGUAUUUAUUUUCCAUUGAUUAAUUAGCCUACGAUUUACUUGUAAAACCUUCGAUUUUAAUUCAAAAAUAAAUAAAUAUUAUUUUCUCUGUCAGUAUUUCACAUGUUCCAACACAUAUUUGACCGAUUUCAAUGUUUAAAUUGUUGAAUUGAUGUUUUUCUUACACUUUAACAACUUUUGUCAUAGAUGUGUAAGUACUUUUGCGGAAAACAAUGCACAUCCAUCACAUUCAAAGGGCAUUUUCGGUUCUUCACUUAUUUAGGGCAUGUAGUGCUUUGCAUGAUAAGGGUGGGCAUUUUUCAAAUUAUUCAUAAGAGAAAGGGCACUUUAAAUUUUGCCUCUAAUAAUUUCCACUUUAAUUCAAUUAAUUAAUUCAACUAAAAAAAUAUUAUUAUUUGGUUUGAUAUAUUAUAGAGGGAAAUCUUAUUAUAGCCCCAUUUUAAAAUAACAUAAGUUUUAUAGCCCCAGUUUCCAAUACAUAAGUUAUAUAGCCAUUUUAGGCUUAAAAAUCUAUAACGUCUUUUGUCUUUUAAGCCUAAAAUAGUUAUAUAACUUAUGUAUUAUAAAUUAGGGCUAUAAAACUUACAUUCUUAUGAAAAAUGGCUAUAUGUAAUAAUUUCCACUAUAUUAAAUUAUUGACAAUUUAAGUUAUUUACGUUGUGUUUUUUUUAGUGAUAAGAAAUUAAAUAAAAAUAUUAAUUUACCAACUAAUUGUCACGCAAGAAUAAAUACGCCACGUCAAAAUUGGCACAGUACCAUAUUAUAUAUUAGCUUGGUAUUUGGCCGGAAUUUAGAUUAGUAGCAAAAUCAGAUAAAAUCAAAAGUUUAGUAAUCAUCACGCUACAAUUCAAAGUUUGUGUGCAAAAUCAGAAUUGGAUGAAAGUUCAGUAUUUUAUGGACAAUUAACCCUUUAUUAUUCCUUUUAUUAUUUAAAGAUGAUCAAUAAUAGUUCAUCAUUUGCUCUCCUAGGUGACUCGAACUCCCAUCUAUUGAUUGAAAUUAAGGCGUCAUAUCAAUUGAAUUCCACUUCAUUGUCAACUUGUUCACUUAUUUACCCAUAAUCAAUUUAACAUUAAUAUUGUUAGAGCGGCCACAUUAUCACUCAAAAUUUGGUGUGAUAAUAUUAUCCCUCAUGGCAAGCUUCCCAGUUGACCUGUUCCCUAGCUUCCCAAUAUCCACCAAUGUCUCCGAUCCUUUGUCUUUCACGAACCAAUGUGGCUUCCACCCUUUCUCUUGCAUCGACCUGGCCUGUUUCCAAUCAAAUCCACCACAUACUUUAAUGGCUUGAAUAAUUUGAGCUUACUAAUCUCAUGUAUUGCCAAUUUAAACACCCCCUCGUAUCUCGUGUAAGAUGUAUUUGGAGAAUGCGUUCAUGAAUUUAAACGAUAGCAGAGAAUAUAGGCAGGGACGGAUCCAGAAUUUUUUUGUCAUGGGGGCAUAAAAUAACUAUAUAUAAAAUUUGUUAAAAAAAACUACAUUCUUUGAAAAAAAAAUUACUACAUAAUAAUUCAAGUUUAUUAUAAUUGAAACCUACAACAAUAAAAAUUUAUUAUAUAAAAUAUAAUAUAAUUUAUAAUUACAGAAUUCAUAAUUAAUAUAUUAAAAUUUAUAUAAUAUAAUUAAUAAAAAUUUAUACAAAAAUAAUAAAGACAUUAAAAAUUUUAUAAUCACAGAAUUAUAAGAUUACAGAGUUUUAUAAAAAUUUAUAUUAUAAUUAAUGAAAAUAUGUACUCCCUCCGUCCCAAUAUUCAAGUCCCCUUUCCUUUUUUGGCAUUAAUUAGCAUACAAUUAAUACAUUUAAUUAUGUCUCUCUCUCCUCUCACAAACCAACCCACCUGCCUCUCUCUCUCUCCUCACUUCUCUCUUCUCUCUCAAAUCGUCAUCUCCCCCCUCUCUCAUCUUCUUCUUUCACCGCCUCGCCGCCUCCACCUUCCACCGCCUCGCCGCCUCCACCGCCUCUCAGCAAGGAAUAAGGGCGGCGACUCGCCGGCGAACAGCAGCGGCGGUUCGCGGAGAGAGGUGUUGUUGUGUUGGCUUGUUGUGUUGGCUUGUGCAGUUGGUGUUGAUGUGUGAGCGUCAGUCGGGGGAGAGAGGUGAAUCGAAGCUUGAGGGGCGGAGGAGCGUGAAAUGAAUUUUUGAGGAGCGUGAAUCGAAGCUUCGGGAGAGAGGUGAAUCGAAGCUUGAGGAGCGUCAGUGCGGACGCCGGAAAUCGAAGCUUGAGGGGCAGAUUUAGAGAUCUAGAGUUUCAGUGUGAUUUAGAGAGAUGAAGGUUAGGAGAAAGGGGGAGGCGAUUGGCGGCUUUGCUAACCGUUGCGGCUGUCGGAAAUCGAAGCUUGUUGUGUUGGCCUUGCUAACCGCUGCGGCUGCCGGAUUUCAGAGGGAGGCUGGCGGCUGAGUUGCCGGAGGAGGCGGCUCUCUCCUUAGCGAUUUAGCGAUUGAGUGUUUUGUGUGGGUGUUAAUUAAGAAAUAAAAUAAUACUAAUUAAAACACUAAUUAUGUGGUCCCUACUGUUUUUACAUCUAUUUUAACUCUCCUAAAUACCCGUGCCCAAAAGAAAGGGGACUUCAUUAUUGGGACGGAGGGAGUAUUAUAAUUACAGAAUUUUGAGAUUGACAAUAAUAAAAUAUAAUAAAAUUUAUAUAAUUAUACAUAUAUAAUUAAUAUAUAUAGAAAAUGUUGUUUUCCGUAAAAAGGUUUUAACGAGGCUCGGCCCUUAGUCUGCUUUCUUGUGCUCUCAAGGUUCAUUAGGUUUUUUCUUUUUCUUUCUUUAUAAAAUUGCAUUUUAAUAAUAUAGAAAAUGUUGUGGGGGCACGUGCCCCCGUACUGGGAGCCGUGGAUCCGUCUCUGAAUAUAGGCAACAAUCAAAAUCAAGGUCGAGACAAUUUGGAUCAAGACUGUGAAACACUCAGAAGGGACAUUAUGUUUACUUGCAUAGGCACUUGUUACUGAACUAAAAUGUUUGAGCACAAGUAUUAUGAGGUAUAACAGGUAAUGUCUGCAAUAUUCGUGAAAAACUUUCAAGUUCGAGAGUAAGCCCAGAAGUCACGAGAUCAACUAGUUACUCCCCAUUUUCCAAGCACCUCUGAUCAGGCCUCAAUCUUGAAUCUGUUGUCUCCUGCAAAAAGGUGUUGAAUCCAAUGUCACGAAACUUAAAACGACACAUUCCCAAUAUGUGUACCACAGCAUAUGGAUUGCACACUUUGAACACCAAGGCAGCAUCCGAAUCUAAUGGGUCAAAUUAUGUACUCAUAGAAGCAUUAUUGACUUCUUCCUAUGGGAUCAAGUUUGUGAGACGGUCUAACAAGAGACCUAUCUUCAAAUAUUAAUACAACCAAACACAACUAUUUCACAGCAAAAUAUUUUUUUUGACUGCAACAUGCUGCAAAAUAUAAUUGGCAAACUGGCUUAGAAAGGUAACAAAGGGAAAUUAAUAAGAUCACCAUUAAUCCUGGAGUAAGCUCAUUCAUUGUGAUGGCAAAGCGAGUCAAGUUAUAACGUGUUCCAUAGUAAUCGAGCUUCAGAUAGAGAUUCAUGACCUUUUCCUUUGGAGCAAUCUCCAUCAACAUAGUGCAUGCUCUCAUCCCAUUUCCCAAACAAAGUUGCCACAGUCUUUCCACUCUUGUCUUGGACAACUUCCUGCACCUGCAUUCUCAAAGUUGCUUUUAUGGAGAAAUCCUGAAGAAUAAUACUCCAGAAGCAUCUAUCUAUUAUUUAAUAGAUUACAUAUUCAAGGACUCCCCUUAAUUCAAGAUCCUAUGUGGCACAUCCUCUAUUCUCUAUUCUAAUUUAUCUUAAAUCCUCAUUUAAUCAUUCUAAUCUAUACAUUCUAUCAUCCCACAUUGAAUUUAUAGUAGUCAAUGACUACUAGAGAACACAUAUAAAAGGAUUAGAUAUAAUGUGUAUUUCUCCAUCCCUCAAUUAUUUUGCACAUUUAAUUAAAUUUGAUUUAUUAAUUAGUUGGCCAAAUAAAUAGUUUUAUUUUUAUUGAAAAUUUUGUUUUUAUCAAUUAUUAAAACGUCAAUGCUAAUUGGCUAAGUAAUUGAUUUUUUUUAAUUAGAAAAUAUUUAAGUUCACAAAAUUAUAAGUUGACGUAAUUUGAAGAAUCGUAGAAUUGCAUUUCUCCAUAUGUUAAAUAUUUGAGCAAAUAAUUAGAAAAUAUUUGCUAGAUUUUUAUAAUUUUUGAAACAUAAAUUUUUAAACUGAUGUAUCCCCUUAGAAAAAAUUGUCAUGAUUAUGUGAUUUUCUCUAUUUUUUAAUUUUAUUCAUCUCAAGUCCUCAUUUUAAUUAUUUUUUAUCCAAUCCCACAUCAAAUUUAUAGUAGUGUAUGCCUACUAGAGAACAUAUAUAAAAUGAUUAGAUACAAUGUGUAUUUUUCCAUAUUUCAAGUAUUUGCACCUCCAAAUAAACAUAUAGUAGUGUAUGCCUACUAGAGAACAUAUAUAAAAUGACUUGAAGAAAUAUAGAAUUGCAUUUCUUCGUAUGCUAAAUAUUUGAGCAAAUAAUUAGAAGAAAAUAUUUGAAAAAUUAUUAGAAUUAUGAAACAUAAACUUUUAAACUGAUAGUAUAAGAUAAAAUCAAUAUACUUCUCUUAGAAAAAAUUAACAUGUAUGAUUAUACGAUUUUCUCUAUUCCUUAUUUUUAAUCAUUUUUAUCCAUAUCUUCUCCAAUACCACAUCAAAUUUAUAGUAGUCUAUCAUUACUAGAGAACAUAUAUAAAAGGAGUAGAUAUAAUAUGUAUUUUCCCAUCCCUGAAUUAUUUUGCACCUCAAAUUAAAUUUGGUCAGUUAAUUAGUUGGUCAAAUAAAUAAUUUUAUUUUUAUUGAAAAUAUUAUUUUGAUCUAUUAUUAAGAUGUCUAGCUAAGUAAAUGAUUUAAUUUUAACUAGCAUUUACACCCCGUGCAAUGAACGGAAAAAUAUUUUAAAUUUUUUUAUUUAUAUUAAAGUAAUACUAAUUUAAUUAUCAUACUUAUAAAUAUAUAUAUAUAUUUAUAUUUUAACUGAAUAUAUUUGAGCAAAUAAAUAGAAGAAAAUAUUUUCCGGAUUUUAGAAAUUGUCAUGGAUGAUUAUACGAUUUUCUCUAUUCUCUAUUUUUAUUUUUCUUAUGUCCUUAUUUUAAUCAUUUUUAUCCAUAUAUUCUUCAAUCCUAUAUCUAAUUUAUAGUAGUCUAUGACUACUAGAGAAUAUAUAUAUAAAAGGAUUAGAUAUAACGGUAAAUAUUACUUUAAACCCCAAAUUAUGUUCACACAAUUAAUUAUAUCUUGAACUAUUGAAAAAUAUUUUUUAAGACUUAAACUAUCGAUUUUGUAUUAAUUGUACCCUUCAUCCAUUUUUCACUCCUUAAAUUUUCAAUUAAUAAAGCAUAUAAUGAUGUUGUUUUAUGGAGUAUAAAGCAUGUUAAAAAAGGAUUGAUUUUGAAUAAUCAUAACAUCCGGCGAGCCACGUCAAAUUUUCAGAGCCAAAAAAAUAGACGAGUGGUGCAAUUGAUACAAAAUUAAUAAUUCAAGGUUUGUAAAAAAAAUCUAUAAUUAAGGAUAUAAUUGAUAGUGUAAAAAUAAUUUGAGGUUUAAAGUAAUACUAGCAUUUGCACACCGUGCAAUGCACGGGAAACUUUAAACUUUUAUAUUUAUAUAAAACUGAUAUCAACUCAAUUAUCAUAUCUAUAAAUAUAAUUUAAAAAUAGUUUUAACUUAAUAUAUUAAUUUGAAAUGUAUAUUGAAAAAAUAAAAAAAUUACAAUAAUAAAAAUUGAUGUAAUGAAAAGAAAAAAAUUACAAUAUACUCCCUCCGUCCCAUGAAGCAAGAUCAAGUUUCCUUUUUGGUCUGUCCCACGAAGCAAGACCAGUUUCUAAAAGUAGCAAAAAAUUUACUCUUUAUUCACCUUUUCACUUUUUCAUCUACCACACUUAACACACAAAAUACCAAUUUCGAACUUGGUCUUGCUUCAUGGAACGGAGGGAGUAUAUUGCAUACUGCAUUCAAUCCAGAAGUUUUUAAAGAUAGAGAUAUUUUGGAGUAACUAACGAGAUGAUUAUUCGUGUAAAUUUUGCCGGCAUCAUUAACCAAUUAUUGAUUUAUAUUUUGUUUAUUUAUAUACAUAUUUUAUAAAUUUAAAUAACUUCAAGAAAUUAAUUGGUAUUACACACACACAUAGAUAUAUAUAUAUAUAUAUAUAUGUAUAUGUAUAUAUAUGGGUUUGGGACGAUAAUAAUAUUAAUAUCAUCACAUAUAUAAUUAGAAAAUGGAAUACUCCUAUGUAGCAUCACCAUAGUUAUGCAUUUUUAUCUAUCCUAUUUCUCAAAAAAAAAAAAAAACAUAUUUAUUAAUUCUUAUUUAUCUAAAUCUUCUCAUCCCACAUUGAUUUUUUUUAUGAAAAUUUACCAAUUGAAAUACUAAAUAAAUUGAUACUAUAAUUUGAAUCUCGUAUCAAUUUGUUAAGUCUUAGACGAGAUGAUUCUCAAAACUUAGUUAUGGUCUUUCAAACUUCAAAUAAGAUGAUGCUUACCCAGUUUUAUUCUUUCAAACUCCAAACGAAAUGAUGGUUGAAAUUCAGUUAUUCUAUUUUAAGCUCCAAAUGAGAUGAUGCACAUAACUAUAUAUGUUAUGGUUUUUGAAGCUCCAUACAAGAUGAUGUUUAGAAGUUAGUUAUGGUAUUUUAAACUCCAAAUGAGAUGAUGCACAUAAUCAUGUUAUGGUUUUUCAAGCUCCAUACAAGAUGAUAUUUAAAAGUUAGUUAUGAUCUUAUAAGCUUCAGAUUGUAUAAUCUCACAAAUCAGCCCUGAUCUUUCAAGCUCCUAAUGAAAAUAAUGUUUAGAAGUAAGUUAUGAUAUUUAAAGUAUCAAAUAAUGAUGUUCAAACGAUUGACGCAUAAAAGCCAGAUAUAUUGUUUCAGGGUCCAGACGAGAUAAUCCUAAAAAAUUUGGCGUUCAAAAGUUAAAUAUUGUCUUUCGAGUUCUUGAUGAUCCUCUGGUCUUAUAGAGUUGAGAUGGGAUGAUGCUUAUAUGACAUAUGAGAUCUUAAAUUAAUUUUUACCUGUCAAUAUAAAAAAAUUGUACAAAAUUUAUAUAAAAGAGUAUUUUUAUUAUUCUAGCAAAAAAUGAACAUUUAAUUGACGAAUAUAGUUGAAAUUAAUAUAACAUAAACUCUAUUAAAAAUAAUAUAAAUAAUUUAAAUCAAAAUUUAAAGUCCCGUCGAAUUUCGACGGGUUAUACACUAGUAGUUACAUGAAAGCAUCAACUUGUCAAGAUAUAAGAUAAGUUAUCAGGAGAAUCUUCAUCUAGCACCAAAUAUUGUUGCAGAAAUAUGCUGAGACGCUAUUCAGUUUGCAGGGUUUAGUUAUUUUACAAUUGUACACGCACCAACAAAAUUAAGAUAACUCAGUUUCAUCAACAUAUAUAAGCCUGAUUCGAAAUGUGUACAAGCCUUUGAUUCCAUGAAACAUAAUGGUCCAUUUCCAUUUAUACGACAUUAUUUAAGAUGGUUUAUACCAGAAUAAAUGUUGACAUUUUCAUUUUCAUUAGCAUGGUAAAUAGAACCAUGUUUUGCAUUUUAGUGAUUCAUGGAUUAAAAAGAAAUUAAACCAAAAUUUAUAUCAUCAAACAUUUCCAUCUUGUUUAUAUUAACUUUUUCAUUUCGCAGGACACUUUUUCUUUCUUAUUGUAAAAGAGAAAAGACAUAAAACAUAAUUUCACAUGCCUCAAGAAAAAGAGAAAAAAACCAAAGUUACCUACUUUAGAUAGGUAUAAAAGAUAUUAAUGGUAUGAGAGAGCACCUGAUGAGGAUUCCGGUCUAUGAUGGACUGCUCCUUGAAUAAUUAAAUGUGGUAAUGUGGUGUGGUCCACCAAAAAGUAUGAGUACUCUUUUUAUGAAAAGACUAAAUAGUACUCUCUUAUUAUUACUUAAUAAAGCCUUAAACAUUUCCAUAUUAAGACUGAGCCAAUUGGAGUGGGACAACCUAAAAUGGAAAAUGAGGCUAUUGGAGUGGGACGAAUGUAGUAAUAUUAUUAUUAAUAAUUUUAAUUUUUUUAGUUUAUUAAUCACUAAUUUGGAUAGUUCUAAUUAUUGUUAUUUUCAUCAUUAUAUGAUACUAAUUAUUGUUAUUUUCAAGUUUAUAUAAUAUUUAUGUUGUUAUUUUCGUGUCAGAAGUUGAAGAUAUGAAAUUAUUUUAUUUUUUUAUUUUUCUUUUGUUAGAGAAUGCUACUUGAUAUUGGUGUAACUAGGGUUGUCGAUCGGUUCGGGUUCGGUUAUCCGUACCCGAAUUUUCGGUUACCCGAACCCGAAAUUGUCAUAUUUCACUAACCGUUUUCGAACCGUUUUAGGUAUUCGGUUACCCAAUAACCGCUUCGGUUACCCGAUUCGGUUAUUUGUGUAUCCGAAAUACCCAUUUAAAAAAUUUAAAUUUAAAUAAUUUGCUAGAUAGAGGAUUUGAACCUUAGUCUCUAAAAAAUACACAAAGCAACUUAUCCAUUAGACUAAAGCUCAUUUUUAUACCUUAAAUAUAUCAUAAUUUUAUUUUAGCUAAAAAUCGAUUUAAAAAAAUAAAUUAAUUAAUUAAUGAAUUAAUAAUUAAAAAAUAUAUAUAAUAUAAUAUUAAAUAAUUUUUGGUUAUUUUGGUUGGGUUAACCGAUACUCGAAAUUUUUCUAAAAAUGAUACCCGAAACCGAACCGAUAAUCAAAAAAUUCGAUUAUUGGAUACCCAAACCCGAGAAAUUCUGUUCUGUUAACGGAUUAUCCAAAACCCGAUAACCAAUUAGACAGCCCUAGGUGUAACAAUGAUGUUAUUCAAAUUGCGCCCACCCUAAUAAAUUAUGAAGGACUUGCAUCGGUGGACCGGUGGUUCAUUUCAACCAAUACAAGCUUGAUGGCGAACUAUAUUAUGUAUUAAUUUCACCACAAAUUGCUUACUUUUUCAACAUCUCCCCUACUCAACUUUCACAUCACAACUUAACCAUCAAAUUGAGUAAAACUAGAAAGUCAACCGUUUUCCUUAGAUAGUACUCCAUCCGUCCCAAUUUUUAGUAUCCAAAUUUCUUUUUUGAUCCUCCCAUAUUUUGGUAUUUAUUUUAAUUUUUCAUAAAAGUAGGUGGGGUCCUUACUCCACUAUAAUUAUUUUAACUCUCACAUAAAAAGUUAGACCCUUAUUCCACUUACAACACACCAAUCACUUUAUUAAAAUACGUGCCGUUCUCAAUUGGAUACCAAAAGUCGGGACGGAGGGAGUAUGAAAUAUUAAAUUUGAAUUACACGUUGUCAACAUUUGACGCACUAAGAACGUGAUACCGUGACAGAGGGCUUCCAAGACAUUACGAGACAAAAUACAUGCAUAGGUAAAAUAGAAAUAAAAAUUUUGAAUAUAAAAAAAGUUAUUAUUAUUAUUAUUAUUAUUAUUUUUAAUCUGAAAUUUUUUAAUGCACAUGAUUGAACAUAAAAAUACAUGUUUAUAAACAUAAAUUUGCAUAACUUUGCACACAAAAAUGCAUUGCAUAUUUUGUGGCAACAACAUGCAUAUUUUUGUGUGCAAAGUUAUGCACGAUCUCUAUUUAAUUAUAUAUAUAUAUAUAUAUAUAUAUAUAUAUUUUAAUAGUUGAAAAUAAUUUUUUUAUCUUUGAGGGGGUUGAAAAGUAGUCUUGGUAGCAUUAAAUUCUAUCUGUGCCAUGCAUAUACAACAAAUUUAUAGUGUCCAAAUCAUACAGCUUUGCAAAUAUUGUCCAAAAUUUAUUCUGGUCCAUCCAAAGCUCCAUUGUAUAUCACGAACUCUUGAGCAAUAUAUAUAACCUUUAUUACAACAUAAAUAAUCAAAUUAAUCAUCAUCUCAUAUUGAGACGCGUUAAAUUGUUUUUUCCUAAAUCCAUACAUGAUAAAUACCAAAAAUAUUUAUAAAUACGAGCUUAAUUAGAUCUGAUCUUGGCCAAAAAAAUUAUAUAUAUAUAUUUCUUUAACGUGAGAUUUGCUCACCUGCAAAUUAUAAGUCAUGUACCACGAAUUCGAUUUAUGGUUAAACAAAACCUAGUCACUCUAGGAAAUUGUUUACCUGAAAAUAUAUAUAUCCCAAUAUUAUUUUUACCUCAAUUUUUAUGGUUGACUUGCUGAAUUAGUCAAAGUAUAAGCAAACAAUUCGUGUAUUUGACAAAGAGUUGAACACUUGAAGUAGCUAGCUAGUGACUUAGUAAGAACAAGCCAAACAAUAAAUUAAUUUGAGAAAAAGGAGAUUAUCAUGUUAGAUUGUCUCAUCAUAAACGAUCAAUAAUUUGGAUUGCAAACUCCUAUUUCACUAACAAUACUAUUAUAGAUAUUCUGAUACAAUUGAAUAUAAAUUUAUAUCUAUAUCUUGACACGUGUCAUGAUGGAAAAAUCUUACACAAUAAUUUGUAUUUGAAAAGAUGAAAUUUGGCAGACGCCAAUUCAAUUACAAUAUGCUAAAAUUCUUGGGUUUUAUAUACAAUCGAAUUCCCUAAUUGAUCACACCGACAAAUUCUAAACCAAACUUCAAAUUCAACUCUAGCUAAAUUCUAGGUUUUCUCCAACUGAAUAACUCUUAAAAAAAGUUUAAAUACAAUCAUAAUAUACGAAAAGUUUAACCAACACAAAAUCUUAUGUAGCAAUGCUUUUCUCUAUAGCACUUGAAUCCAGAUAACGAUAAAUGACUCGCCUAACAGAUCUUAACUUAUCGAGCCGUAUUACACGAGACUUGCUUUUAAUCAACAGAAAAAAUUUAUGUAAGAUAAUCUGACGAGUCAAGAUCUAUCACUCAUAUAGUUAAUAAUUUUAAAAUAUUUUAUCGUGCUCGAAAUCCGUAUUACACGAUACUUGCUCUUUAAUCAACACAAAAACUUAUGUAAGAUAGUUUGACGAGUCAAGAUCUAUCACUCAUAUAUUCAAUAAUUUUAAAAACUUGUCGGGCCAUAUUACACGAAACUGCCCUAUUACGUGAGACUUGCUUUUAAUCAACACAAAACCUCACGCAAGACAGUCUAACGAGCUAAGAUCUAUCACUCACAUAUCCAAUUAUAUAUAUUUAUAAUUCAAAAUUACUUUAUAGUGCUUCAAAAUUCAGAUAAUGACUCGUCUAACAAAUCUUAACUAGUUCGAACCGUUUAACACAUAAAGAUGUCACUUUCUUGCAUUAGUGAUAGGCUAUAACUAGUCACGCUAGGGGGAGACGUGGUCUUGAGCAAGUCAAUGGACACGCCAUAGGAAAAGAUCCACAACACGAAAAGACCAAAAUACCCAUCCCUAGCCUCGUAUAAUCCUCGUCAUUCACAAGGGCAAUUUAGUGAAAUCAAACCUAAUAUUUUUCAAACGUUAGAAGCUUUAUAAAUUGGUCUGUUAGAAGACAAAGGAAAACGGCUUUCAUUGUAAUCUUGACAACUGCCACACAUUCACCAGGGCUAAUAUAAAACACACACAACACACACUCAUAUAUCCCUCUGUCUUUUUCCAAUUUUAUUAUUCCCUUGUCUUUAAAAUUAAAUUUCUUUUGGGGAAAUUCGGAAAGUGGCUUUAUUUAUUUAUUUUGUUAUUUGAUAUAUAAAAAUAAUUCGAGGGGUCUGGAAAUUACGUUAGGGUCAUAUUGUUGCAUUCCCUUUCUGCGGCCGGGGGCGUCAAGUUUCCAACUUUGAGGGAGAUCUCAUUUGGGUUUUGUUUGGUUUGAUUUGGGUCUGCAUUUCUUGAUCUCGAGAUAAAGAGGGUGAUUGUUUGGUGAUUUUAGAGAGAGAAAGGGGAGAGAGAGAGAGAUGAGCGGUGUAUCAAGAAUUUGGGAGAAGGUGAAUAUGAUGGCGGAAGGAGGAUCUCGGAAUUGUUCCAAGAAAUCUGAUGAUAUAUGUGGCGAUGCCUGUGGUGAGGUAAAAAAAAAUCAUCUUUUUUUAGGGGGUUGCGUUUUUUGCUAAUGUAUGGCAUAAAAAGAGUGUGGGUUUUUUCCUCGCCUUUUUUCUUUUUAAAAUUCUUGAAUGUCUUGUUUCGGUUUUCGUUUGGGUGGGGAUUGUGGUUUGCUUUUUAGAUUCUGUAAAAAAAAAAUUAUUUUUUUAUUUUAUUGAUGAAACAUCAAUGGAUAAAUUUUUGAUUUUGGACUAUUGGGAUGAGGGAACAUUUGAAAUUUCGUUUUGUUUAGAGCAAUUUUGAGCUGUAGUUUUGUGUGUGUGUGUGUUUUAUUGAGGGAUUAGAUCAAAUUCCCCCAUUUAUGUAAUUAUUAUUUCUGGGAAUAUAUCAGCGUGAAGAAAUUUUAAGAUCCUGUGAUUUUUCGUUUGAAUUAUUUUGUGAAUGUUGCUUUUUUCUGGUUUAUCUACCGUUAUACCUCAUUUGAUUGGAGUGGGAUCUGAAAGAAUGUCCUGUUCUCAAUAAUAUUAUUUGGCACUUGCUUGAAUUUUCAAUUUUAUUGCUCUUAUCUUAUGCCUUGCAGGAAUUAUUCUGUGAUUUGUUGUAUGGUUUUCAUUAAUCUAUUGAAAGUCAUUAAAAAUGUUGUAGGGAAAGUAAGAUUCUUGCUUUAUUUGCAAUCUGUGAGGUCCAUAUUUGAAUAGCAUCACAAUGGAGAGAAUCUAGCUGUGGAAGUUGUGUAUAUGUUGGUUCGAGUUCGUGUUGAAUCGUAUGUAUGAUUGUUGCAGUUUUUCUAAUAAAUUUGGUGUUUGUGAAAAUUGCAGGAUUCAGGAAGGGCUUUGAGCAUGGCCAGAUUGAGAUGUAUUCUGCGGGGGCUGGAUUUCAAAGCAUUGCUCUUUCUCUUUGUGUUGAUCCCGACGUGUGUCUUUGUUAUAUAUGUCCACGGCCAAAAGAUCACGUACUUUCUGAGACCGUUAUGGGAGUCCCCGCCCAAGCCUUUCCACGAGAGACCUCACUACUAUCACGAGAAUGUGUCAAUGGAGAAUCUGUGUAAGCUUCAUGGUUGGGGGAUACGUGAGUACCCUAGACGUGUCUAUGAUGCAGUGCUGUUCAGCAACGAGGUGGACAUCCUCAAGAUGCGUUGGAAGGAGUUGUAUCCGUAUGUGACAGAGUUUGUCCUCCUUGAGUCGAAUUCCACCUUCACCGGGCUGCCAAAGCCCAACCUCUUCUCAACUGUCCGCGAUCAGUUCAAAUUUGUUGAGCCCCGUUUGACCUAUGGGCAGGUCCCGGGGAGAUUCAAGACGGGAGAGAACCCUUUUGUUGAGGAGGCGUAUCAGAGAUACACGUUGGAUUAUCUUCUCAAGCAAGCCGGCAUUCAGGAUGAUGACCUUUUGAUAAUGUCGGAUGUUGAUGAGAUCCCAAGUAGGCACACGAUCAAUCUCUUGAGGUGGUGCGAUGACAUACCCCCGAUCCUUCAUCUUCGUCUCAAGAACUAUCUGUACUCGUUCGAGUUUUUCCUUGACAACAACAGCUGGAGAGCCUCUGUCCAUGUAUACCAAUCUGGCAAGACGAGAUAUGCUCACUACCGACAGUCUGAUGAGAUCUUGGCUGAUGCAGGGUGGCAUUGUAGCUUCUGCUUCAAACGCAUCAGCGAAUUCAUAUUCAAGAUGAAGGCUUACAGCCACGUGGAUCGGGUGAGAUUCUCUCAUUUUCUGAGCCCUAAGAGGAUCCAGAAAGUGAUCUGCAAAGGUGCUGAUUUGUUUGACAUGCUGCCCGAGGAGUAUACGUUCAAGGAGAUAAUCGGGAAGAUGGGGCCGAUCCCACAUUCCUAUUCGGCCGUUCAUCUCCCUGCAUAUCUCUUGGAGGCAGCUGAUCAAUACAAAUUCCUCUUACCUGGGAAUUGCAUAAGGGAAAGAGAGAGUGGCUGAGCUACACGAACGAGGUCGUGUAUCUUCUUGUACAGGUGGAGGAAGCAAGCUUCAGCUCGACUCCCGGGUAAGGGUGACCUUUAACCAAAUUCAUGGCUGCAGUGUGUGUUGUUUUUAUAACCAUGCUACAUACAUGUUCAGCCUACUUAUAUCAUUCUUGCCUUCGAGCUUUUGAGAAAACAAAGAAAAAAAAUGACAGACAUAUCUCGGACUUUACUAGAUUGAGGUUUGUAUAUAAUCGUUCGUAGACUUGAUUUUCAUGCAACCGGAUAGUGCACUGAGCGAGAGAAACGAAAAGAAAAGAAAACGGGCUCUGCUAGGAACUACUUGUUGUAACUAGGGCGUUUCCAUAAUACAUAAACGCGCUAUGACUGUGCAUUACGCCCCCUUGAAGGCGGGGGGUUGGUUCAUCGUUGUUGCUGGCCGUUUUUCUGUCUCUAGGAAAAUUUUUGGUGUGAGCAGUGAGCUAAUAUAUUCAUCUGCAGAUUGUGAAACAUGCUGUAGUGCUUUCUUGAUUUUGGAUCUUCUCUCAAACUGUUUUUUUAUUUUUUCAAUGGAGAUAUGAUGUGAUGAUUCAGCUCUUUCUUGAGAUUUUCUUGCUAUUCUUUCCUCAAUUUUUACAGCUAAGUUUUGUCUGAAAACAGAGGAUUCUUGGCUUUGUGAAGCAUUGUUUGUUGAUGGAUAGCUGGUUUCUUGUUUGUUGAUGAACUAAGAAAUUAUGUGUGGGAAGAAAAAGAAUUAAAGAAAAAAGUCAAAUGAAAUAAAGAAUCUGAUACCCUCAAUAAUUUAUGAUGGUUUUUUGUCAUUGUUCAAGGUUGGCAUGUCCGAAUAUUUUUUCUAUUUCAAGAAAAUAUAAUCAUUAAUUGCCACUGAUGUGCAGCUCAUUACAUUUGCUUUAUUCAACACUUGCAAGUUACUACUAUAAUUUAAAUUAAAACCUUAUUAUACUUCAAAAUCUUUGUGAUCAUAUUAUAAUUGGCUACAUCAAUAAGGGCUUGUUCAUCAAGAUUGGCACUCAACCUUCAAAUACAUGAACUUCUAUUAUUUCUAUUUUUCACAUGGUUCUCAAUUAUCCUCAAAUUAAUAGCGAUAUGGACGCCUAGAAUGUUUACAUGACUUAAACGAUAGAUGACAAAACGAUAUAGUUGGAUGUCUAUGCAAUUUUAAUUGGUCACGUUGAUAUUAAUUUGUUAUGUCAACUUGCCACUAUGGUAUUAACUGUGAAAAAUUUCAAAUGAUUGGAACUUCAUGUAUUUAGGCGCAAUUAUUCUUUGAAAAUCAGACAGUUAGAAUCACAACUGUUGAUUAGAAGUGAUGCAAGAUUCUUUCCCAAGUGGGAUCAAAAGCUGUAAGAAAUUCCUCAGAGAAAUUACCAAAAAGGAAUUGAAUUCCACAAAAUAUAAAACAAUAUUACCCCAUAAUGGGAAUUGAAUCAGAUGCAUCCCCAUCUCAAAAACAAAAAAAAAACUAUAAGUAGCAGACACUAACACCAAUCAAUCUAUCAAGAGAGAGAGAGAGAGAGAGUCAAGAAAAUGCAGAUGUACAAGGAAGUAGUGGAGGAAUAUGAAUACAGCUACAGCAACAAUGGCUCAGACAUGCACAUGAUGAAGCCUGCUGCUGCACAGCACAGCUACAAUCAGAGCCAUGGCCAUGCGCCCGAGACGAGGUACGAGGAUGGCUGGGGCGGCGCCAAGAAUAAUGACCAUUAUGCCCUCGGUGGCAAGGUGCAUCACGGCGGCAAUGAGGGGAUGAAGCACGGUGGAUAGGGGCUGAUCAGGGGCAUUUUGGUCAUUACAAGGAGGGGAUGGGGAUGAAGCACGGCGGAUAUGGGGGCGAUCAGGGGCAUUUUGGUCAUUAUAAGGAGGUGAUGGGAUGAAGAA
This 18555-nucleotide long non-coding RNA is filed under the name Salvia miltiorrhiza (redroot sage). Its description in RNAcentral is "long non-coding RNA (SMIL_LNC007480)". Lineage: Eukaryota; Viridiplantae; Streptophyta; Magnoliopsida; Lamiales; Lamiaceae. The record is from RNAcentral.